RNAcentral lists this ribosomal RNA (454 nucleotides) under uncultured bacterium. RNAcentral describes it as "bacterial SSU rRNA". It matches the Rfam family "Bacterial small subunit ribosomal RNA", at positions 340 to 786 of the family's 1533-position model. The record is from RNAcentral.
UACGGGAGGCAGCAGUGGGGAAUAUUGCACAAUGGGCGAAAGCCUGAUGCAGCUAUGCCGCGUGUAUGAAGAAGGCCUUAGGGUUGUAAAGUACUUUCAUCGGGGAGGAAAAACAAAACUAAUAAUUUUAUUUCUUGACGUUACCCGAAAAAGAAGCACCGGCUAACUCCGUGCCAGCAGCCGCGGUAAUACGGAGGGUGCUAGCGUUAAUCAGAAUUACUGGGCGUAAAGAGCACGUAGGUGGUUUUUUUAAGUCAGAUGUGAAUCCCUGGGCUUAACCUAGGAACUGCAUUUUGAAACUGAAAUACUAGAGUAUCGUAGAGGGAGGUAGAAUUCUAGGUGUAGCGGUGAAAUGCGUAGAUAUCUGGAGGAAUACCUGUGGCGAAAGCGGCCUCCUAAACGAAUACUGACACUGAGGUGCGAAAGCGUGGGGAGCAAACAGGGAUUAGAUACC